GCUUACGGCCACACCGCCUGCUUCACGCCCGAUCUCGUUUGAUCUCGGAAGCUAAGAUAGGGUGGGCCUGGUUAGUACUUGGAUGGGAGACCGCCUGGGAAUACCAGGUGUUGUAAGAU
Molecule: ribosomal RNA, 119 nt
Filed under: Scophthalmus maximus (turbot)
Lineage: Eukaryota; Metazoa; Chordata; Actinopteri; Pleuronectiformes; Scophthalmidae
Source: RNAcentral